Molecule: small RNA, 93 nt
Filed under: Arabidopsis thaliana (thale cress)
Lineage: Eukaryota; Viridiplantae; Streptophyta; Magnoliopsida; Brassicales; Brassicaceae
Description: ATSL137540
Source: RNAcentral
UUCCUGAGUUUUGCGAAUAUAAAAUACUCCCUCCGUCCCACUAAGAUGAAUUUUUUAGAAAUUGCACAUUUUUUAAGAAAUAUUGUAUAAACA